AACGAACGCUGGCGGCAUGCCUAACACAUGCAAGUCGAACGAGACCUUCGGGUCUAGUGGCGCACGGGUGCGUAACGCGUGGGAAUCUGCCCUUGGGUUCGGAAUAACAGCGAGAAAUUGCUGCUAAUACCGGAUGAUGACGUAAGUCCAAAGAUUUAUCGCCCAAGGAUGAGCCCGCGUAGGAUUAGCUAGUUGGUGAGGUAAAGGCUCACCAAGGCGACGAUCCUUAGCUGGUCUGAGAGGAUGAUCAGCCACACUGGGACUGAGACACGGCCCAGACUCCUACGGGAGGCAGCAGUGGGGAAUAUUGGACAAUGGGCGAAAGCCUGAUCCAGCAAUGCCGCGUGAGUGAUGAAGGCCUUAGGGCUGUAAAGCUCUUUUACCCGGGAUGAUAAUGACAGUACCGGGAGAAUAAGCUCCGGCUAACUCCGUGCCAGCAGCCGCGGUAAU
Molecule: ribosomal RNA, 450 nt
Filed under: uncultured bacterium
Lineage: Bacteria
Description: bacterial SSU rRNA
Rfam family: Bacterial small subunit ribosomal RNA
Source: RNAcentral